GGAUGAACGCUGGCUGUGUGCCUAAUACAUGCAUGUCGAGCGGAGUUCUUCGGAACUUAGCGGCGAAUGGGUGAGUAACACGUACUUAACGUGCCCCCUUGAUUGGGAUAACGCUGAGAAAUUAGCGCUAAUACCGGAUACUUAAAUAUCUCGCAUGAGGUAUUUAUAAAAGGAGCCUUUAAAGCUUCACAAGGGGAUCGGGGUGCGUAACAUUAGCUAGUUGGUGAGGUAAUGGCUCACCAAGGCGAUGAUGUUUAGCGGGGUUGAGAGACUGAUCCGCCACACUGGGACUGAGAUACGGCCCAGACUCCUACGGGAGGCAGCAGUAGGGAAUUUUCCACAAUGGGCGAAAGCCUGAUGGAGCGACACAGCGUGCAGGAUGAAGGCCUUCGGGUUGUAAACUGCUGUUAUAAGGGAAGAAAAAGUCGAGGAGGAAAUGCCUUGACCUUGACGGUACYUUAUCAGAAAGCAACGGCUAACUAUGUGCCAGCAGCCGCGGUAAUACAUAGGUUGCAAGCGUUAUCCGGAAUUAUUGGGCGUAAAGCGUCUGUAGGUUGUUUGUUAAGUCUGGUGUGAAAACUUGGGGCUCAACCCCAAAUUGCAUUGGAUACUGGCAAACUAGAAUUGUGUAGAGGUUAGCGGAAUUCCUUGUGAAGCGGUGGAAUGCGUAGAUAUAAGGAAGAACAUCAACAUGGCGAAGGCAGCUAACUGGACAUAUAUUGACACUGAGAGACGAAAGCGUGGGGAGCAAACAGGAUUAGAUACCCUGGUAGUCCACGCCGUAAACGAUGAUGAUUAGCUGAUGGGGAACUCAUCGGCGCAGCUAACGCAUUAAAUCAUCCGCCUGAGUAGUAUGCUCGCAAGAGUGAAACUUAAAGGAAUUGACGGGGAUCCGCACAAGCGGUGGAGCAUGUGGUUUAAUUUGAAGAUACGCGUAGAACCUUACCCACUCUUGACAUCUUCUGCAAAGCUAUAGAGAUAUAGUGGAGGUUAACAGAAUGACAGAUGGUGCAUGGUUGUCGUCAGCUCGUGUCGUGAGAUGUUCGGUUAAGUCCUGCAACGAGCGCAACCCUUGUCCUUAGUUAAAYGUUCUAGGGAGACUGCCCGGGUAACCGGGAGGAAGGUGGGGACGACGUCAAAUCAUCAUGCCUCUUACGAGUGGGGCAACACACGUGCUACAAUGGAUGGUACAAAGAGACGCAAUACGGCGACGUGGAGCAAAUCUCAAAAAACCAUUCUCAGUUCGGAUUGUAGUCUGCAACUCGACUACAUGAAGUCGGAAUCGCUAGUAAUCGUAGAUCAGCUACGCUACGGUGAAUACGUUCUCGGGUCUUGUACACACCGCCCGUCACACCAUGGGAGCUGGUAAUGCCCGAAGUCGGUUUUGUUAACUACGGAGACAACUGCCUAAGGCAGGACUGGUGACUGGGGUGAAGUCGUAACAAGGUAUCCCUACGAGAACGUGGGGAUGGAUUACCUCCUUUCUACGGAGUACACCUUUCAGUUUAGUGCUGAAAAAUACAACAAAAAUUAUUAAAUAUUAACGACAAAUAAUAGGUCAUGUCAUAUAUCUAGUUUUGAGAGAACUUUCUCUCUUUGUUCUUUGAAAACUGAAUAGUAAAGUAAAGAUAUUAAAUUAAUAUAACAACGACAUCAAAAAAUAAAUUAGUCAAUUUGUUUUGUGAUACCGAGUUAAUUAUUAUUCUAAAAAUAAUAAUUUAUUGAAAUGUCUUUGAAUACAUCAAACAAAUAGGUAAAUAUUGUUACAACUUUUAAAUAAGUAAGAGUUUGUGGUGGAUGCCUUGGGUCUGGAAGUCGAUGAAGGACGUGAUUACCUGCGAUAAGCCUCGUGGAGCUGGAUAUGAGCUACGAUACGGGGAUUUCCGAAUGGGGAAACCUAGCUAGAGUAAUUUCUAGUUGCUGUAUAAUGAAUCAAAUAGUUAUACAGACGAGACACGUUGUGAACUGAAACAUCUUAGUAGCAACAGGAAGAGAAAAUAAAUAAUGAUUCCAUUAGUAGCGGCGAGCGAACGUGGAAGAGCCCAAACCGACAUUAGUCGGGGUUGUAGGACUAUCUACAUGAAGUUACAAAUCUUUAUCAUAGCAGAAUAGCGUGGGAAAGCUAAGCAAAGAGGGUGAUACUCCCGUAAGCGAAAUGRUAAAGACUUCUGAUAGUAUCCUGAGUAGGGCGGGGCACGUGAAACCCUGUCUGAAUCUGCCGGGACCAUCCGGUAAGGCUAAAUACUAACCAGACACCGAUAGUGAACUAGUACCGUGAGGG
RNAcentral lists this ribosomal RNA (2281 nucleotides) under Mycoplasmopsis gallinacea. RNAcentral describes it as "bacterial LSU rRNA". The stretch from base 1 to 1484 matches the Rfam family "Bacterial small subunit ribosomal RNA". Lineage: Bacteria; Bacillati; Mycoplasmatota; Mycoplasmoidales; Metamycoplasmataceae. The record is from RNAcentral.